Molecule: ribosomal RNA, 580 nt
Filed under: uncultured bacterium
Lineage: Bacteria
Description: partial 16S ribosomal RNA
Rfam family: Bacterial small subunit ribosomal RNA
Source: RNAcentral
UGGGGAAUUUUGGACAAUGGGCGAAAGCCUGAUCCAGCAAUGCCGCGUGUGUGAAGAAGGCCUUCGGGUUGUAAAGCACUUUUGUCCGGAAAGAAAUCCUUGGCUCUAAUACAGUCGGGGGAUGACGGUACCGGAAGAAUAAGCACCGGCUAACUACGUGCCAGCAGCCGCGGUAAUACGUAGGGUACAAGCGUUAAUCGGAAUUACUGGGCGUAAAGCGUGCGCAGGCGGUUUGCUAAGACCGAUGUGAAAUCCCCGGGCUCAACCUGGGAACUGCAUUGGUGACUGGCAGGCUAGAGUAUGGCAGAGGGGGGUAGAAUUCCACGUGUAGCAGUGAAAUGCGUAGAGAUGUGGAGGAAUACCGAUGGCGAAGGCAGCCCCCUGGGCCAAUACUGACGCUCAUGCACGAAAGCGUGGGGAGCAAACAGGAUUAGAUACCCUGGUAGUCCACGCCCUAAAACGAUGUCAACUAGUUGUUGGGGAUUCAUUUCCUUAGUAACGUAGCUAACGCGUGAAGUUGACCGCCUGGGGAGUACGGUCGCAAGAUUAAAACUCAAAUGAAUUGACGGGGUCAUAGCUG